RNAcentral lists this ribosomal RNA (462 nucleotides) under uncultured bacterium. RNAcentral's name for it is "bacterial SSU rRNA". It matches the Rfam family "Bacterial small subunit ribosomal RNA", at positions 30 to 507 of the family's 1533-position model. The record is from RNAcentral.
AUUGAACGCUGGCGGCAUGCCUUACACAUGCAAGUCGAACGGCAGCACGGGGGCAACCCUGGUGGCGAGUGGCGAACGGGUGAGUAAUACAUCGGAAUGUACCCAGUAGUGGGGGAUAACUAGUCGAAAGAUUAGCUAAUACCGCAUACGCACUAUGGUGGAAAGCGGGGGAUCGCAAGACCUCGCGCUAUUGGAGCAGCCGAUGUCCGAUUAGGUAGUUGGUGGGGUAAAGGCCUACCAAGCCUGCGAUCGGUAACUGGUCUGAGAGGACGACCAGUCACACUGGGACUGAGACACGGCCCAGACUCCUACGGGAGGCAGCAGUGGGGAAUAUUGGGCAAUGGGCGAAAGCCUGACCCAGCGACGCCGCGUGAAGGAUGAAGGUCUUCGGAUUGUAAACUUCUUUGAUCAGGGAAGAAAGAAAUGACGGUACCUGAAAAACAAGCCACGGCUAACUACGUG